RNAcentral lists this ribosomal RNA (693 nucleotides) under uncultured bacterium. RNAcentral's name for it is "bacterial SSU rRNA". It matches the Rfam family "Bacterial small subunit ribosomal RNA", at positions 141 to 850 of the family's 1533-position model. The record is from RNAcentral.
GGAUAACGUUUGGAAACGAACGCUAAUACCGCAUGAUAUUAUCUUAUCGCAUGAUAGGAUGAUCAAAGGAGUGAUCCGCUGAAAGAUGGGCUCGCGUCCGAUUAGGUAGUUGGUGAGGUAACGGCCCACCAAGCCGACGAUCGGUAGCCGGACUGAGAGGUUGGACGGCCACAUUGGGACUGAGACACGGCCCAGACUCCUACGGGAGGCAGCAGUAAGGGAUAUUGGUCAAUGGGGGAAACCUUGAACCAGCAACGCCGCGUGAGGGAAGACGGUUUUCGGAUUGUAAACCUCUGUCCUCUGUGAAGAUGAUGACGGUAGCAGAGGAGGAAGCUCCGGCUAACUACGUGCCAGCAGCCGCGGUAAUACGUAGGGAGCGAGCGUUGUCCGGAUUUACUGGGUGUAAAGGGUGCGUAGGCGGCUAUGCAAGUCAGUAGUGAAAUCCAUGGGCUUAACCCAUGAACUGCUAUUGAAACUGCACAGCUUGAGUGAAGUAGAGGUAGGCGGAAUUCCCGGUGUAGCGGUGAAAUGCGUAGAGAUCGGGAGGAACACCAGUGGCGAAGGCGGCCUACUGGGCUUUAACUGACGCUGAGGCACGAAAGCGUGGGUAGCAAACAGGAUUAGAUACCCUGGUAGUCCACGCUGUAAACGAUGAUUACUAGGUGUGGGGGGACUGAACCCUUCCGUGCCGGA